This 397-nucleotide ribosomal RNA is filed under the name uncultured bacterium. RNAcentral's name for it is "partial 16S ribosomal RNA". It matches the Rfam family "Bacterial small subunit ribosomal RNA", at positions 338 to 732 of the family's 1533-position model. The record is from RNAcentral.
CCUACGGGAGGCAGCAGUGAGGAAUAUUGGUCAAUGGGCGGGAGUCUGAACCAGCCAAGCCGCGUGAGGGAUGAAGGCACAAUGUAUUGUAAACUUCUUUUGUCAGGGAAUAAAGCGGGGCACUAGUGCCUUUUUGCGGGUACUUUAUGAAUAAGGAUCGGCUAACUCCGUGCCAGCAGCCGCGGUAAUACGGAGGAUCCGAGCGUUAUCCGGAUUUAUUGGGUUUAAAGGGAGCGUAGAGGGGUUGUUAAGUCAGUGGUGAAAGUUUGCGGCUCAACCCGAAAAUUGCCGUUGAUACUGGCAGUCUUGAGUAGAGGUGAGGUACGCGGAAUGCGCGGUGUAGCGGUGAAAUGCUUAGAUAUCGCGCAGAACCCCGAUUGCGAAGGCAGCGUACUAA